RNAcentral lists this ribosomal RNA (490 nucleotides) under uncultured bacterium. RNAcentral's name for it is "partial 16S ribosomal RNA". It matches the Rfam family "Bacterial small subunit ribosomal RNA", at positions 30 to 507 of the family's 1533-position model. The record is from RNAcentral.
AUUGAACGCUGGCGGCAGGCCUAACACAUGCAAGUCGAACGGUAACAGGAAACAGCUUGCUGUUUCGCUGACGAGUGGCGGACGGGUGAGUAAUGUCUGGGAAACUGCCUGAUGGAGGGGGAUAACUACUGGAAACGGUAGCUAAUACCGCAUAACGUCGCAAGACCAAAGAGGGGGACCCUCGGGCCUCUUGCCAUCGGAUGUGCCCAGAUGGGAUUAGCUUGUUGGUGGGGUAACGGCUCACCAAGGCGACGAUCCCUAGCUGGUCUGAGAGGAUGACCAGCCACACUGGAACGGAGACACGGACCAGAGUCCUACGGGAGGCAGCAGUGGGGAAUAUUGCACAAUGGGCGCAAGCCUGAUGCAGCCAUGCCGCGUGUAUGAAGAAGGCCUUCGGGUUGUAAAGUACUUUCAGCGGGGAGGAAGGGAGUAAAGUUAAUACCUUUGCUCAUUGACGUUACCCGCAGAAGAAGCACAGGCGAAAACCGUG